RNAcentral lists this ribosomal RNA (213 nucleotides) under Fusobacterium necrophorum. RNAcentral describes it as "partial 23S ribosomal RNA". It matches the Rfam family "Bacterial large subunit ribosomal RNA", at positions 115 to 333 of the family's 2925-position model. The record is from RNAcentral. Lineage: Bacteria; Fusobacteriati; Fusobacteriota; Fusobacteriia; Fusobacteriales; Fusobacteriaceae.
CGAAUGGAGCAAUCUGUAAAGAGUCAUGUCUUUACACGAAAGAGGGAACCGGGUGAACUGAAACAUCUAAGUAAUCCGAGGAAAAGAAAGUAACAACGAUACCCUAAGUAGCGGCGAGCGAACGGGGUAGAGCCUAAACCGUAUUCAUGUCAAGGAUGCAGCCGUUGUGGAUAUGGGGUAGCGGGAAAGAGAGAGAAAGAACUGCAAGCUAUU